UAAAUUAUUUCAGUCUUCUUUCUUUUCCCUCCUUCCAAACCCUAAAAUUAUUUGACUUCCCUCCCAUCCACAGUUACGCAAGCGACGGUUUUGCAAGCGAUGAACAAGAUUUGCUUCUUUCAACAGAUGAAGAAAUCAAAAGUUUUAAUUUGGCUUCUUGAAGUAUUAUUUGCAUUCAGGAAUAUCCCUAAAUCAUAUGAUUUCUGAAUCUCUUGUAGGAUUUCAUUACUGAUUUCAUUACUGCAGAGGAAUUGUCUAGAGAUCACAGGGAUGCCUUCAUGAACACUUGUUUAUUUGGGCAGAGGAUAUGGUUGGAAGUAAGAAUGUUUACCAACAUUCUUGUAUUAUGUAGGAAGUCACACUUGUAGAGCUUGAUGGAGACAGAGAUUACCACAUGCCUGUUGAACUUGGAGGUAGUGGUGGAAUGGUAUGCUUAAAAUAUAUUUCCGUGUCUCUGUGUUAUGCAUUAUGUUUCGCUAGGCAAUUAUUUUAUUUAUCAAGUUACUAAUUUUAUAAGGCUUUAUUUCAACUAAUUUACAUGUUGAAGUUGAGAAAAACUAGUUGCUGGA
RNAcentral lists this long non-coding RNA (569 nucleotides) under Helianthus annuus (common sunflower). Lineage: Eukaryota; Viridiplantae; Streptophyta; Magnoliopsida; Asterales; Asteraceae. The record is from RNAcentral.